GACGAACGCUGGCGGCGUGCUUAACACAUGCAAGUCGAACGGAAAGGCCCUGCUUUUGUGGGGUGCUCGAGUGGCGAACGGGUGCGUAACACGUGAGUAACCUGCCCUUGACUUUGGGAUAACUUCAGGAAACUGGGGUUAAUACCGGAUAGGAGCUCCUGCUGCAUGGUGGGGGUUGGAAAGUUUCGGCGGUCGGGGAUGGACUCGCGGCUUAUCAGCUUGUUGGUGGGGUAGUGGCUUACCGAGGCUUUGACUGGUAGCCGGCCUGUGAGGGUGACCGGGCACAUUGGGACUGAGGUACGGCGCAGAGUCGUACGGGAGACAGCAGUGGGGAGUAUUGCACAAUGGGCGGAAGCCUGAUGCAGCAACGCCGCGUUCGGGAUGACGGCCUGCUGGUUGUAAACCGCUUUCGCCUGAGACGAAGCGGGAGUGACGGUAAUGGGUAAAGAAGCACCGGCUAACUACGUG
Molecule: ribosomal RNA, 468 nt
Filed under: uncultured bacterium
Lineage: Bacteria
Description: partial 16S ribosomal RNA
Rfam family: Bacterial small subunit ribosomal RNA
Source: RNAcentral